This 639-nucleotide ribosomal RNA is filed under the name Listeria monocytogenes. RNAcentral describes it as "bacterial SSU rRNA". It matches the Rfam family "Bacterial small subunit ribosomal RNA", at positions 48 to 671 of the family's 1533-position model. Lineage: Bacteria; Bacillati; Bacillota; Bacilli; Caryophanales; Listeriaceae. The record is from RNAcentral.
CCUAUACAUGCAAGUCGAACGAACGGAGGAAGAGCUUGCUCUUCCAAWGUUAGUGGCGGACGGGUGAGUAACACGUGGGCAACCUGCCUGUAAGUUGGGGAUAACUCCGGGAAACCGGGGCUAAUACCGAAUGAUAAAGUGUGGCGCAUGCCACGCUUUUGAAAGAUGGUUUCGGCUAUCGCUUACAGAUGGGCCCGCGGUGCAUUAGCUAGUUGGUAGGGUAAUGGCCUACCAAGGCAACGAUGCAUAGCCGACCUGAGAGGGUGAUCGGCCACACUGGGACUGAGACACGGCCCAGACUCCUACGGGAGGCAGCAGUAGGGAAUCUUCCGCAAUGGACGAAAGUCUGACGGAGCAACGCCGCGUGUAUGAAGAAGGUUUUCGGAUCGUAAAGUACUGUUGUUAGAGAAGAACAAGGAUAAGAGUAACUGCUUGUCCCUUGACGGUAUCUAACCAGAAAGCCACGGCUAACUACGUGCCAGCAGCCGCGGUAAUACGUAGGUGGCAAGCGUUGUCCGGAUUUAUUGGGCGUAAAGCGCGCGCAGGCGGUCUUUUAAGUCUGAUGUGAAAGCCCCCGGCUUAACCGGGGAGGGUCAUUGGAACUGGAGACUGGAGUGCAGAGAGGAGAGUGGAUCCACG